AUGUCUCUUUGAACAUUAACAAUAAAGAGUCCAGCCUGCCCGGUGAAACUUAUUUAACGGCCGCGGUACUCUGACCGUGCGAAGGUAGCAUAAUCAUUUGUCUUAUAAUUGAAGUCUAGAAUGAAUGGCUUCACAAGAGCAAAGCUGUCUCUUUUUUUAUACUAGAACUUUAUAACUAAGUUAAAAAUCUUAGAUUAAAUUAGAAGACGAGAAGACCCUAUCGAGCUUUAGGAAAUUUUUAGAGCUCUUAACGUUAACGGAAACAGAAAACUUAAAAAAACUUUGGUUGGGGCGACCCGAGAACAGUUAAAGCUUCUCAUUUUUUAACUACUUUUAGGUUAAGACCCAUUAAUAAUGAUUAAAAAAAUUAGUUACCGUAGGGAUAACAGCAUAAUCUUUUUUGAGAGUUCAAAUCGAAAAAGAGGUUUGUGACCUCGAUGUUGGACCAAGAUAACCUGAAGAUGCAGAAGUCUUUAAAGGUUGGUCUGUUCGACCAUUAAAAUCUUACGUGAUCUGAGUUCAGACCGGCGUGAGCCAGGUUGGUUUCUAUCUUUUAUUUAGGUAGUAGAUCUAGUACGAAAGGACCGGUUUACUUUACUAGGUGAAGAAAAAGAUUUAUUCUAAUAAAAUAUUAAAUAUUUGUAUUAAAAGUAUAAAAUAUGAAUUAAAAGUGGCAGAUUAAGUGCAUUAGGUUUAAGCCCUAA
RNAcentral lists this ribosomal RNA (704 nucleotides) under Variolipallium cerebroides. RNAcentral's name for it is "partial large subunit ribosomal RNA". The stretch from base 1 to 578 matches the Rfam family "Bacterial large subunit ribosomal RNA", at positions 1815 to 2925 of the family's 2925-position model. Lineage: Eukaryota; Metazoa; Mollusca; Gastropoda; Littorinimorpha; Velutinidae. The record is from RNAcentral.